RNAcentral lists this ribosomal RNA (470 nucleotides) under Nymphon mendosum. RNAcentral's name for it is "partial 16S ribosomal RNA". It matches the Rfam family "Bacterial large subunit ribosomal RNA", at positions 1820 to 2587 of the family's 2925-position model. The record is from RNAcentral. Lineage: Eukaryota; Metazoa; Arthropoda; Pycnogonida; Pantopoda; Nymphonidae.
UUUUUGUUGAAAAUAGAAAGUAGAGUCUGCCCGGUGAAACUUUUAACGGCCGCAAUAUUUGUGCGAAGGUAGCAUAAUCAUUUGUCUUUUAAUUGAUGACUGGAAUGAAUGGCUGGACGGGGAUAAGCUGUCUUAAUUAUAUAUUUUUGAAAUUUACUUUUAAGUAAAAAGGCUUAAAUGUUUUAGAGGGACGAGAAGACCCUAUUGAGUUUAAUAGAGAAUAUUUUAAUUUUUUCUAAAAUUUGGAGGGUAUCUAUUUAGUUGGGGAGAUUUAAUAAUAUUAACUAUAUAAGAAUAUAUAGACAUUAAGUUUUUAGGAUCCAUAUUUUAUGAGUAUUAGGAUAAAUUACCUUAGGGAUAACAGCGUAAUAUUUUUUUAGAGUUCGAAUCGACUAAAAUGUUUACGACCUCGAUGUUGGAUUAAGGAACCUAAUUGGAGAAGAUUUUAAUUUAGGUAGUCUGUUCGACUA